CUGAAAAUUGUGUUUGAUUUAUGAUGUGGGACUUUAUUUUUGUAGUCAGAAAAGUGCCACUAUGGGAAUCUGAUCAGCAUGCUCAGAAGUAAGCCUCCAGAAAAAUUAUUUAGCAGUGAUACUCAGAUGGUAGUGAAGUAACAAGGGCUGCAGGGAGUCCUGCAGGUUAGAGUUAAUAAGGGCCUGAAUGAAAAACUACUCACAGAAAAAAAUGAAAGAAGAGGACAGAGAAGCAGCACCAGAAUGGUGUAGUCAGGAUUAGCAGAGAAAAAUGUUUUCAGGAAAAGUGUUAACAAAAUUAAAGAUAUAAUACAAAUUCCCCAAAGAUCUUGUUUCCAAAACCUGAAUGUGAACAAGCAUUGGAACAACACUGUAAAAUAUAAAUUCUAAUUUGAAAAAGAUAUGUCCAUCUAAAGCUUGUAUUUAUCUUUGGAUGAAAAUACUAAUGUUAAUACACUUUACUGAAAAAAUGAGUAACCACCAAUAACUACUAUUCUUUC
Molecule: long non-coding RNA, 500 nt
Filed under: Bos taurus (domestic cattle)
Lineage: Eukaryota; Metazoa; Chordata; Mammalia; Artiodactyla; Bovidae
Description: long non-coding RNA NONBTAT000284
Source: RNAcentral